Non-coding RNA from Picea glauca (white spruce), 84 nucleotides. The record is from Rfam. NCBI's taxonomy places the organism in Eukaryota, Viridiplantae, Streptophyta, Pinopsida, Pinales, Pinaceae.
AAGAGCCAUAUGAUGGGAAACUAUCUCCUAUGGUUCGGAGAGGACAGGGUCAAAAAUAAUAGUUGGUAGUGCCAUCCAACUAAU